This 429-nucleotide ribosomal RNA is filed under the name Chloroflexota bacterium. RNAcentral describes it as "Chloroflexi bacterium partial 16S ribosomal RNA". It matches the Rfam family "Bacterial small subunit ribosomal RNA", at positions 355 to 776 of the family's 1533-position model. Lineage: Bacteria; Bacillati; Chloroflexota. The record is from RNAcentral.
UGGGGAAUAUUGCACAAUGGGCGCAAGCCUGAUGCAGCCAUGCCGCGUGUGUGAAGAAGGCCUUCGGGUUGUAAAGCACUUUCAGCGGGGAGGAAGGCGUUAAGGUUAAUAACCUUGGCGAUUGACGUUACCCGCAGAAGAAGCACCGGCUAACUCCGUGCCAGCAGCCGCGGUAAUACGGAGGGUGCAAGCGUUAAUCGGAAUUACUGGGCGUAAAGCGCACGCAGGCGGUUUGUUAAGUCAGAUGUGAAAUCCCCGGGCUCAACCUGGGAACUGCAUCUGAUACUGGCAAGCUUGAGUCUCGUAGAGGGGGGUAGAAUUCCAGGUGUAGCGAUGAAAUGCGUAGAGAUCUGGAGGAAUACCGGUGGCGAAGGCGGCCCCCUGGACGAAGACUGACGCUCAGGUGCGAAAGCGUGGGGAGCAAACAGG